This 492-nucleotide ribosomal RNA is filed under the name uncultured bacterium. Its description in RNAcentral is "partial 16S ribosomal RNA". It matches the Rfam family "Bacterial small subunit ribosomal RNA", at positions 29 to 507 of the family's 1533-position model. The record is from RNAcentral.
AGUGAACGCUGGCGGUAGGCCUAACACAUGCAAGUCGAACGGCAGCACAGCAAGAGCUUGCUCUUACGGGUGGCGAGUGGCGGACGGGUGAGGAAUACAUCGGAAUCUACUUUUUCGUGGGGGAUAACGUAGGGAAACUUACGCUAAUACCGCAUACGACCUACGGGUGAAAGCAGGGGAUCUUCGGACCUUGCGCGAUUGAAUGAGCCGAUGUCGGAUUAGCUAGUUGGCGGGGUAAAGGCCCACCAAGGCGACGAUCCGUAGCUGGUCUGAGAGGAUGAUCAGCCACACUGGAACUGAGACACGGUCCAGACUCCUACGGGAGGCAGCAGUGGGGAAUAUUGGACAAUGGGCGCAAGCCUGAUCCAGCCAUACCGCGUGGGUGAAGAAGGCCUUCGGGUUGUAAAGCCCUUUUGUUGGGAAAGAAAAGCAGCUGGUUAAUACCCCGCUGUUCUGACGGUACCCAAAGAAUAAGCACCGGCUAACUUCGUG